UGGCGGACGGGUGAGUAACGCGUAACUGACCUACCCAGAAGUCAUGAAUAACUGGCCGAAAGGUCAGCUAAUACGUGAUGUGAUGAUUCGCCGUGGCGAAUCAUUAAAGAUUUAUCGCUUCUGGAUGGGGUUGCGUUCCAUCAGCUAGUUGGUGGGGUAAAGGCCUACCAAGGCGACGACGGAUAGCCGGCCUGAGAGGGUGGCCGGCCACAGGGGCACUGAGACACGGGUCCCACUCCUACGGGAGGCAGCAGUUAGGAAUCUUCCACAAUGGGCGCAAGCCUGAUGGAGCGACGCCGCGUGAGGGAUGAAGGUUCUCGGAUCGUAAACCUCUGAACUAGGGACGAAAGAGCCGUAUGGCAGAUGACGGUACCUAGGUAAUAGAACCGGCUAACUCCGUGCCAGCAGCCGCGGUAAU
This 418-nucleotide ribosomal RNA is filed under the name uncultured bacterium. RNAcentral describes it as "bacterial SSU rRNA". It matches the Rfam family "Bacterial small subunit ribosomal RNA", at positions 96 to 524 of the family's 1533-position model. The record is from RNAcentral.